GACGAACGCUGGCGGCGUGCUUAACACAUGCAAGUCGAACGGAAAGGCCCUGCUUUUGUGGGGUGCUCGAGUGGCGAACGGGUGAGUAACACGUGAGUAACCUGCCCUUGACUUUGGGAUAACUUCAGGAAACUGGGGCUAAUACCGGAUAGGAGCUCCUGCUGCAUGGUGGGGGUUGGAAAGUUUCGGCGGUUGGGGCUGGAAUCGCGGCUUAUCAGCUUGUUGGUGGGGUAGUGGCUUACCAAGGCUUUGACGGGUAGCCGGCCUGAGAGGGUUACCGGCCACAAUGGGACUGAGAUACGGCCCAGAAGCCUACGGGAGGCAGCAGUGGGGAAUAUUGCGCAAUGGGCGGAAGCCUGAUGCAGCAACGCCGCGUGCGGGAUGACGGCCUUCGGGUUGUAAACCGCUUUCGCAUGUGACGAAGCGUGAGUGACGGUAAUGGGUAAAGAAGCACCGGCUAACUACGUG
RNAcentral lists this ribosomal RNA (468 nucleotides) under uncultured bacterium. Its description in RNAcentral is "partial 16S ribosomal RNA". It matches the Rfam family "Bacterial small subunit ribosomal RNA", at positions 28 to 507 of the family's 1533-position model. The record is from RNAcentral.